Molecule: non-coding RNA, 24 nt
Filed under: Cricetulus griseus (Chinese hamster)
Lineage: Eukaryota; Metazoa; Chordata; Mammalia; Rodentia; Cricetidae
Source: RNAcentral
GGGUCACAAUUGGCAGAGGGGCGG